Cavia porcellus (domestic guinea pig) is the source of this 97-nucleotide unclassified non-coding RNA. It matches the Rfam family "Y RNA". Rfam says of the family: Y RNAs are components of the Ro ribonucleoprotein particle (Ro RNP), in association with Ro60 and La proteins. The Y RNAs and Ro60 and La proteins are well conserved, but the function of the Ro RNP is not known. In humans the RNA component can be one of four small RNAs -- hY1, hY3, hY4 and hY5. The record is from Ensembl. Lineage: Eukaryota; Metazoa; Chordata; Mammalia; Rodentia; Caviidae.
GGCUGGUCCGAUGGCAGUGGGUUAUCAGAACUUACUAACAUUAGUGUCACUAAAGUUGGUAUACCACCCCCCCACUGCUAAAUUUGACUGACUUGAA